AAAAAAAUAGAAAAAUUACAUCAAAGUGCUAACAAAACAAUUCAUCAUAAUGUUGGGCUUAGAAAGCGAGCAUACACUCAGUUGUAUCAUCAUAAUCGACUAAGUAAGUAUUUCAUCAAUUCAGCAUAACACAUCGACAAUUUUCCAUUGUCAAAUCUCACCGAAGAUUUUUUUUUAUAGGCAAUGAGAUAAGUGAGACAACAAGUUGUUUCUGACAGACAGAUACCCCAUCCUAUGCCGCCUACUCAUAAUAUAUUAAAUCCCACCAAAGAUAAAGUGAUGUAAUUUCAAAUAAUAGAUGUUGAAUAAAAAUAAUUAGCGUCGAAACGAAUGACAUCCAAAAAUUAAAAUUUAAGAUUAAUUAUUUUUUAUGCAAAUGAUAUCCAAAACAAAUAAAACAUCUCAUCAUAAUAUUGUGACUGUUGGGGGAGC
RNAcentral lists this long non-coding RNA (432 nucleotides) under Medicago truncatula (barrel medic). RNAcentral's name for it is "long non-coding RNA (MTRU_LNC006928)". Lineage: Eukaryota; Viridiplantae; Streptophyta; Magnoliopsida; Fabales; Fabaceae. The record is from RNAcentral.